This 496-nucleotide ribosomal RNA is filed under the name uncultured bacterium. RNAcentral describes it as "partial 16S ribosomal RNA". It matches the Rfam family "Bacterial small subunit ribosomal RNA", at positions 29 to 507 of the family's 1533-position model. The record is from RNAcentral.
AUGCACGCUGGCGGCGUGCCUAAUCCAUGCCAGUCGAGCGAACAGACGAGGAGCUUGCUCCUCUGACGUUAGCGGCGGACGGGUGAGUAACACGUGGAUAACCUACCUAUAAGACUGGGAUAACUUCGGGAAACCGGAGCUAAUACCGGAUAAUAUAUUGAACCGCCUGGUUCAAUAGUGAAAGACGGUUUUGCUGUCACUUAUAGAUGGAUCCGCGCCGCAUUAGCUAGUUGGUAAGGUAACGGCUUACCAAGGCGACGAUGCGUAGCCGACCUGAGAGGGUGAUCGGCCACACUGGAACUGAGACACGGUCCAGACUCCUACGGGAGGCAGCAGUAGGGAAUCUUCCGCAAUGGGCGAAAGCCUGACGGAGCAACGCCGCGUGAGUGAUGAAGGUCUUCGGAUCGUAAAACUCUGUUAUUAGGGAAGAACAAAUGUGUAAGUAACUAUGCACGUCUUGACGGUACCUAAUCAGAAAGCCACGGCUAACUACGUG